RNAcentral lists this ribosomal RNA (497 nucleotides) under uncultured bacterium. Its description in RNAcentral is "partial 16S ribosomal RNA". It matches the Rfam family "Bacterial small subunit ribosomal RNA", at positions 28 to 507 of the family's 1533-position model. The record is from RNAcentral.
GAUGAACGCUGGCGGCGUGCCUAAUACAUGCAAGUCGAGCGAACGGACGAGAAGCUUGCUCCUCUGAUGUUAGCGGCGGACGGGUGAGUAACACGUGGAUAACCUACCUAUAAGACGGGGAUAACUUCGGGAAACUGGAGAUAAUACCGGAUAAUAUUUUGAACCGCAUGGUUCAAAAGUGAAAGACGGUCUUGCUGUCACUUAUAGAUGGAUCCGCGCUGCAUUAGCUAGUUGGUAAGGUAACGGCUUACCAAGGCAACGAUGCAUAGCCGACCUGAGAGGGUGAUCGGCCACACUGGAACUGAGACACGGUCCAGACUCCUACGGGAGGCAGCAGUAGGGAAUCUUCCGCAAUGGGCGAAAGCCUGACGGAGCAACGCCGCGUGAGUGAUGAAGGUCUUCGGAUCGUAAAGCUCUUUUAUUAGGGAAGAACAUAUGUGUAAGUAACUGUGCACAUCUUGACGGUACCUAAUCAGAAAGCCACGGCUAACUACGUG